AUUGCAUUUUUAGAUGUUACCGGGAUAAGAUAUUUCAGUGCACUACAAGAAAAAAGUCAAAUAUCUACGUACCAUAAAGAAAAUCAAGAAAUUAAAUAAACUGUUCUUGUUAGGAAUAUCAAAAAAGUUCUAAGCAGCUAAAGAUGAAGCAUUAAAAUGUGAAGAUUUCACCUCCUGCUCUUUGGAUUUUGAAAGGACCCGGGAACCUCAUACGUAAAUAAUGUUUAUCAGCUUUUCCCCUAUAGAAACACUUCCCCAAUCUCACAAAAGAUAGCAUUAAUAUGGCUGGCUCUACUAAAGGCUCUGUGUUACACACUGUGGACCACAAGAAGAAGAGACAGAUUUGGAUCUCACUCGUAGAGUUUACAGCCUAGAGAAGAAGCCUAUGCUACCUUCUAUUGAGAGACAGACUCAAAGUCUGGGCCUAUCCUGGGAAACACAGAGGGAGAUGUGAGGCUACAUCGAACAUUCUGGGGUAACCAGGAGGCAGAUUGCAGAAAGGAUCUAAAGUCAAGAGAAGAAGCCUCUAUUACCUUCUGUUGAAAGACAGACUCAAGGUCUGGGCCUAUCCUGGGAAACACAGAAGGAAAUGUGAGGCUGAGUCGAACAUUCUGGAGUAACCAGGAGGCAGAUCACAGAAAGGAUCUAACGCCAAGGCAAGGAGAGCGGCUCCCAAUGUGGCAAUGAGAGGAUGAAUAUAAACUUUGCCUACUUCGUUUGGGAGCAGGCAAGCCAUCCCUGCAGAAGAUUCCAGUUUUUCUCCUGCUCCUUGUCUAAAGUAGAACUUGUUGACAAAUGCCUCUCUCCGAAUUGCCCAACUGUCACCGGCAGCUCUAAUUACAGUGAAUUACCUCACGCCAGCUGGUGUUACUGCAAAGCAAACAUCAAAAAUUCAAGGUGAUCUAUAGAAACAACACAGAUGUUGUUGCAAAUACUCUGUGGCAUAUUCUGGCCUUUACAUAAUACAGGUCACAUUACUAGUGGUGAGUCAACACCCACAGAUCCUCGUUGGAUUUGCUGCCAGUGAUUCUUCCAUUUUUCCUGAAACUGUCUACUUAUUCGGCUACCGGGAGCACUAUGUGCUUUUGUUUUUCUUCUCAUCUCUGAUAUUUUCUCUGUACUCAGCAUUAAUGAAUAUAAAUAUGUGGAUUGUAGUGAAUUUGCCAGAUUUAUUUUAAAACUUGAGAAACCAUAAAUGUGAAAUGAGAGGUCUAAACUCCUCUUUAACUGUGAUAAAAGAAGACUGAAAUCAAACAACUGAAACCAUGAGCCAAAUCUAUUAGCACUGAACUCCUCCAACAGCAUGAUGUCACAGGCCCCUGGAAGAAUCGACAUGGUUGGCAUUACUCUGGUCAUUUAGUUGCCAUGCAGCCAAGCAAAGGCAAGUGACGAAAAUAGUAUUUUUUAGUAAGGUAGCGCUAUACGUAGUUACACUAAAUCAAUGACGAGCAAAUGGCAGGGGGUCUUCCUGUAUGGGGUUUCAGUUACAUUUACCACUUUAUCACUUUGUCUAGCAAAGUGUUCAGCACUCAUCAAAUAUGUGUCGAAUAUUUUGAACACUGAUGACUUGUUCAAAUGGGUUUGCAGUUAUUUCCUGUUUAACCAAAGUUUAAGUCAAUUAAGGUUGAGUCAAAAUGAAUUUUUUAAAAGCUGGUUGAUCUUUCUUUUUUUCCUUUUUGCAAAGAAAAUUCUUAAUUUUCACUAUUAUGAAAGGCAUUUCAAGUGUAUCUAAGAGAAGCAAACUUGGACUAAAAGGAGAGAAUAUGUAUUUUAGCCUAAGAUCUGUCAGUUUUUGUGAAGUAAGACAAAUCAUGUAAUAGUAUCUAAAGGUUUAUGCUUCAGUUUCCUACCGUGUAAUAACACUGCUCUUGUUAUUUCAUAUCAUUGUUAUGAAAAUGAGAGCAUAAUUAUGAAAAUUCUUUGAAAAACUAAUAAUCCCUAUACAGAUACAGGACUUAUAGUCUAGAUAUAGAAGUAUAUUAUACUCCUGGGGACAUAAAAUGGACAUGAGAGAAACCAUCACAUUUGGUUGUCUAUUCCACACAUACAGACACACAUUUUAGUAAUGCAGAAUGUGAUGCUAGGCACUUCAGGGCAUGCCAAGGUGGGUGGGACAUGUCGUUCUAGUCCCAAAAGCUGACCAUUGUGUAGAGAACAAAGAAGUAGAGCGAUGAGACCUAAGAAGGCUGUGGAGGAGAAGUUCAGAGAACAAAGACACACACACACACACACACACACACACACACACACACACACACACUCUUAAGCUUUAAAAAGAGAAAAUGGUUUUACAUUAAUGGAUCAUUAAAGUAGAGUAUUUUCCCCUUAUCUGUAAAGGAUAUAUAUUUUUUUCAGAUGAAGUCUCUCUGUUGCCCAG
This is a long non-coding RNA of Cebus imitator (Panamanian white-faced capuchin), 2377 nucleotides long. RefSeq lists it as uncharacterized. The record is from RefSeq and is a predicted model, not a curated record. Lineage: Eukaryota; Metazoa; Chordata; Mammalia; Primates; Cebidae. The transcript has 7 exons.